CCUACGGGCGGCAGCAGUCGAGAAUCAUUCACAAUGGGGGAAACCCUGAUGGUGCGACGCCGCGUGGGGGAAUGAAGGUCUUCGGAUUGUAAACCUCUGUUAUGUGAGAGCAAAUUAUAAAGAUAGUACCCCAAGAGGAAGAGACGGCUAACUCUGUGCCAGCAGCCGCGGUAAUACAGAGGUCUCAAGCGUUGUUCGGAAUCACUGGGCGUAAAGCGUGCGUAGGCUGUUUCGUAAGUCGUGUGUGAAAGGCGCGGGCUCAACCCGCGGACGGCACAUGAUACUGCGAGACUAGAGUAAUGGAGGGGGAACCGGAAUGCUCGGUGUAGCAGUGAAAUGCGUAGAUAUCGAGAGGAACACUCGUGGCGAAGGCGGGUUCCUGGACAUUAACUGACGCUGAGGCACGAAGGCCAGGGGAGCGAAAGGGAUUAGAUACCCGAGUAGUC
Molecule: ribosomal RNA, 446 nt
Filed under: uncultured bacterium
Lineage: Bacteria
Description: partial 16S ribosomal RNA
Rfam family: Bacterial small subunit ribosomal RNA
Source: RNAcentral